Molecule: signal recognition particle RNA, 304 nt
Filed under: Ipomoea nil (Japanese morning glory)
Lineage: Eukaryota; Viridiplantae; Streptophyta; Magnoliopsida; Solanales; Convolvulaceae
Description: Plant signal recognition particle RNA
Rfam family: Plant signal recognition particle RNA
Source: Rfam by way of RNAcentral
GCUGGGCUUGGUAGCGUGAGCCUAUAACCUGAGUGGGAGCAUUAAGAUGGUGGAACAAUUGGGCAUGCCCUGAAGGUUGGGCUCGAGGUGCUAUCUUCUGGCUUGCCCGUUCCAAGUGGUGAGUUGUGCCGUGGAUUCUCUACGAAGGUAGAGGCUUCUCGGUCCUUAGAUUGGAGGGCACCGCGUGAGGCUGGCUUCACAGAGCAGCGAUAACCUCUUUCUCUCCGCAGUGGAAGGAUAACAUGCUGGUGCAUUCUCGGUCCAUUAGCGCCUGAUGGGCUGCCCAAAUUGAACCACCAUCUUU